GUCACAAAGGACAUUAAAGCUUCUGCCUUACUCUGUGAGAUCCCUCAGCUCUUAGGGGAAGCCAGCUGCGGUGUCAAGAGGACACGCAAGCAGCCCUACAGUUUCUUGGGAGUUUGCUCUUAUUGCCGGCUGGAGUGCAAUGGCACGAUCUUGCUUCACCACAACUUCCGCCCCCCUGGUUCAAGCGAUUCUCCUGCCUCAGCUUCCCGAGUAGCUGGGAUUACAGGUGAGACUGAUUUCCUAAAUGGAGGUCUUGAUGCACUGCCCAAGAGCCAACAGUGGAAAUUGCAAGGCUUCUUAAGGCCCAUGCUUGUAAGUUGCAUUACAUCACUGUUAGCAAAUUUCAAGUCAAGAGCAAGUCUGAAGAGCAGCCCAGAUUCAAGAGCUGAGAAAAUAGACGUCAUGUCUUGAUGGAGAAAGUAAAAAAGUCACAAUGCAAAAGAGCCUGAAUACUAUGAUGAAAGAAAUUUGUGGUCAUAUUUUGUAAUCCACCACACCAGCCUUUUGGUUUUCCAGAUGCAUGUCAAACACAGCUCAAUGAGUCCCUGUAACUGCAGAAGACUUAUAUGGAGCUCUCUGAGUGAUUUUAUGGAAUAACCUCCCUCAUACUGGGCUUGAGGGGAGGCAAGAUGAAGGGUAGAAGGGCACACAGAACUGCUCAUUCCAAAGAAAUCCUCUCCAAACACCCUCCUCAUUUCUAAUGUCCCCAUCCUUUCACACCAUCAUCAUGGGUAAGGUGUUUAAGAGUUAGGUAAUACAAUUGCAGAUGACUCU
This 774-nucleotide long non-coding RNA is filed under the name Callithrix jacchus (white-tufted-ear marmoset). Its description in RNAcentral is "lncRNA (ENSCJAG00000083288.1)". The record is from RNAcentral. Lineage: Eukaryota; Metazoa; Chordata; Mammalia; Primates; Cebidae.